Molecule: ribosomal RNA, 241 nt
Filed under: uncultured bacterium
Lineage: Bacteria
Description: partial 16S ribosomal RNA
Rfam family: Bacterial small subunit ribosomal RNA
Source: RNAcentral
CGACCGGCGCACGGGUGCGUAACGCGUAUGCAACCUACCUUUAACAGGGGGAUAACACUGAGAAAUUGGUACUAAUACCCCAUAAUAUCAUAGAAGGCAUCUUUUAUGGUUGAAAAUUUCGAUGGUUAGAGAUGGGCAUGCGUUGUAUUAGCUAGUUGGUGGGGUAACGGCUCACCAAGGCGACGAUACAUAGGGGGACUGAGAGGUUAACCCCCCACACUGGUACUGAGACACGGACCAG